GAAAAGUGAGCGGAUGAACUGAGGGUAGCGGAGAAAUUCCAAUCGAACCUGGAGAUAGCUGGUUCUCUCCGAAAUAGCUUUAGGGCUAGCCUCAAGUGAUGAUUAUUGGAGGUAGAGCACUGUUUGGACGAGGGGCCCCUCUCGGGUUACCGAAUUCAGACAAACUCCGAAUGCCAAUUAAUUUAACUUGGGAGUCAGAACAUGGGUGAUAAGGUCCGUGUUCGAAAGGGAAACAGCCCAGACCACCAGCUAAGGUCCCAAAAUAUAUGUUAAGUGGAAAAGGAUGUGGCGUUGCCCAGACAACUAGGAUGUUGGCUUAGAAGCAGCCAUCAUUUAAAGAGUGCGUAAUAGCUCACUAGUCGAGUGACACUGCGCCGAAAAUGUACCGGGGCUAAACAUAUUACCGAAGCUGUGGAUUGUCCUUUGGACAAUGGUAGGAGAGCGUUCUAAGGGCGUUGAAGCAUGAUCGUAAGGACAUGUGGAGCGCUUAGAAGUGAGAAUGCCGGUGUGAGUAGCGAAAGACGGGUGAGAAUCCCGUCCACCGAUUGACCAAGGUUUCCAGAGGAAGGCUCGUCCGCUCUGGGUUAGUCGGGUCCUAAGCUGAGGCCGACAGGCGUAAGCGAUGGAUAACAGGUUGAUAUUCCUGUACCACCUAUAAUCGUUUUAAUCGAUGGGGGGACGCAGUAGGAUAGGCGAAGCGUGCGAUUGGAUUGCACGUCUAAGCAGUAAGGCUGAGUAUUAGGCAAAUCCGGUACUCGUUAAGGCUGAGCUGUGAUGGGGAGAAGACAUUGUGUCUUCGAGUCGUUGAUUUCACACUGCCGAGAAAAGCCUCUAGAUAGAAAAUAGGUGCCCGUACCGCAAACCGACACAGGUAGUCAAGAUGAGAAUUCUAAGGUGAGCGAGCGAACUCUCGUUAAGGAACUCGGCAAAAUGACCCCGUAACUUCGGGAGAAGGGGUGCUCUUUAGGGUUAACGCCCAGAAGAGCCGCAGUGAAUAGGCCCAAGCGACUGUUUAUCAAAAACACAGGUCUCUGCUAAACCGUAAGGUGAUGUAUAGGGGCUGACGCCUGCCCGGUGCUGGAAGGUUAAGAGGAGUGGUUAGCUUCUGCGAAGCUACGAAUCGAAGCCCCAGUAAACGGCGGCCGUAACUAUAACGGUCCUAAGGUAGCGAAAUUCCUUGUCGGGUAAGUUCCGACCCGCACGAAAGGCGUAACGAUUUGGGCACUGUCUCAACGAGAGACUCGGUGAAAUCAUAGUACCUGUGAAGAUGCAGGUUACCCGCGACAGGACGGAAAGACCCCGUGGAGCUUUACUGUAGCCUGAUAUUGAAAUUCGGCACAGCUUGUACAGGAUAGGUAGGAGCCUUUGAAACGUGAGCGCUAGCUUACGUGGAGGCGCUGGUGGGAUACUACCCUAGCUGUGUUGGCUUUCUAACC
Molecule: ribosomal RNA, 1436 nt
Filed under: Staphylococcus aureus
Lineage: Bacteria; Bacillati; Bacillota; Bacilli; Caryophanales; Staphylococcaceae
Description: partial 23S ribosomal RNA
Rfam family: Bacterial large subunit ribosomal RNA
Source: RNAcentral